CAAAAAGUUGAGCCACAGCUUACUCUUGUUGAAUCAGAGCUACCCAAGAAGCUUUCUUGGAAGAUUGGGAGCCAACUAAGAACUCAUUUUUAAGGUAAAUGUUACAGAAUAAGAGUAGGAGGAUUUCGUUUUGUAUCUCUCUAUCUCUCACUCGUGUGUUUGUAAGAACCUAAGUUCAACGCAUCGGUGUGAUGACGUUUACGUCUGGGGCCGGAUCAAUCCAGGCAAUAUAUUGAUCAGAGAUGUUUUACAGCUCACUCUCAGAGCAACAACUUUUACAAGCUCUCAAAGGUUUCAGCUCUCCCCAAUGUUGUCUUACUGAAGAAGAUAAGGAUGCAGAGCAUUUAUACUCAGCAUAAAGGAAAGACACCGUCGCAAUCAGAGGCUUCACUUUUCACAUGUGACUGCUUUUCCUAGAGCGCCAAAGUGAGCACUUUGAAUUCCUGAAGUGCUUGCGUUUCAUGAAGUGGUAGCUUCAACCCUCUAGAUAAACUGCUUGUUAUAACCACAAUCACACAUCCUCUUCAAAACCAAACUUCUAUGAACUUGAAUCACAAAAGCUUGAGCUUCAACAGUAAACGACUGAUUAUAAAUGAAAAGAGUUAUGUCCCAAAUGAGACUCAAAAGUUGCUUGUGUUUGACUACUUUAACUUGUAGUUAGUAGUGUGAGCUCCAGGUAUGAGUCCGUUAAAGAUCCCAAUGACUAACCAAGCUCAGUGGCUCAAAGUGUGUAUAUGUGGGAAUUGUAGGUCUGGCUCUGCGUUUGAUGAAGGAGAAGAAGCAGAAAAAUGGUUUUCAGAUUAUUAUUAGUGAUGGGCCUAACUCACACCGAAAAGCUAGUUCAAGAGUGGAGGAAUGCCCAUACACUUAUAUAUUGCCCAAGGACCAUUGUCUCAACCGAUGUAGGACAAUCUAAUAGCCCCUCUCGAGAUGUGGGUGGGAAACGGUCCAACGGAAACAGCCCAAGCCCAACAUCUCGGACAUACCACAGCAAGAUGGGCCAUUUUUAUAGGCUACAUAGGUAGACAACUAUUUAUAUGGGAAAUCAUCUUGCUGGGCUUAACCAUGGGCUCUGAUACCAUAUUAGUGAUAGGCCUAACUCACACCCAAAAGCUAGCUCAAGAGUGGAGGAUUGCCCAUACAUUUAUAUAUUGUCCAAGGACACUUAUCCCAAACGAUGUGGGAUAUUAAUAGCCCCUCUCGAGAUGUGGGUGGGAAACGGUCCAAUCGGAAAUAGCCCAAGCCCAACAUCUCGGACAUACCACAGCAAGAUGGGCCAUUUUUAUAGGCUACAUAGGUAGACAACUAUUUAUAUGGGAAAUCAUCUGCUGGGCUUUCACCAUGGGCUCUGAUACCAUAUUAGUGAUGGGCCUAACUCACACCGAAAAGCUAGUUCAAGAGUGGAGGAUUGCCCAUACACUUAUAUAUUGCCCAAGGACCAUUGUCUCAACCGAUGUAGGACAAUCUAAUAGCCCCUCUCGAGAUGUGGGUGGGAAACGGUCCAACGGAAACAGCCCAAGCCCAACAUCUCGGACAUACCACAGCAAGAUGGGCCAUUUUUAUAGGCUACAUAGGUAGACAACUAUUUAUAUGGGAAAUCAUCUUGCUGGGCUUAACCAUGGGCUCUGAUACCAUAUUAGUGAUAGGCCUAACUCACACCCAAAAGCUAGCUCAAGAGUGGAGGAUUGCCCAUACAUUUAUAUAUUGUCCAAAGACACUUAUCCCAAACGAUGUGGGAUAUUAAUAAUUAUCUUGGAAAACAAAGCCUGUUUGGUUCGGUUUAAUAAAGGUCUUGGCCAUUUUAUUUUGUUCUUGAAUCUUUCAUUUGUAACAGAUUUGAAUGCACAGAGUUCAAGUUAAGUUUUUCUCAAGUUUGAUACAGAAACUGAAACUAGGCCCUUCACCUCCUCAGUUUGCACCAGGUUACACUACAACAUUUGCAAAUACGUUUCCCUUUAUGGUUGCCUCUCAGGUAAGCCAAUUACUUCUGAUAUCUGUAAACUAUAUAAUAUGUAUUUGAUCUUACUCUUUUUGUUGUUUGUUCUUAGGCUUCUUUAGACAAACUGAAUACACUUCUUUCAGAACCAGUGCCUAUGAAACGCUUUAGACCCAAGUGAACUAUAUUUGUUCCUGAGUUUUGUCUUCAAGGAUGGUUGUUUUCUUAAUAAUCUUGAUUUUCUUGUUUAUCUUGUAGUAUUAUUGUGGAAAAUUGUGAUCCUUUUGAAGAAGAUCUUUGAGAUGAAGUCAAGAUAAAUGAUUUAGUCUUCCAAGGAGUUAGGCUGUGUAGCCGCUGCAAGAAACUGGUGUUCCGGAUGCAACUGAACCAAUUGAAACUCUGAUGAAAAAUCAGAUCAAACAGUCGUAAUGCCACACAAGAAACCGCAUGGGAAGGAUAUGGUUUGGAAUUGGCACAUAACCAACAACAACCAAGGUAAAGGCAACAAGACAAUUAAAGUUGGAGAUUCCAUCUCUGUCAUAAGGAAGAUUGAAGCAGCUGUUUAAGUCAUAAAUGUAAACAUAGG
Raphanus sativus (radish) is the source of this 2522-nucleotide long non-coding RNA. RefSeq lists it as uncharacterized. The transcript is spliced from 3 exons. NCBI's taxonomy places the organism in Eukaryota, Viridiplantae, Streptophyta, Magnoliopsida, Brassicales, Brassicaceae. The record is from RefSeq and is a predicted model, not a curated record.